AACCCAAGCCAAUAAAGAACAAAGAAAGAAAUGGCGAAAGCUUAUGUAAUCGCCCUCUUUUUCUUCGUCGUUUGUAUUUCCUCCUACCUUAGCUUCGCCUAUGGAGCAGCAGGCAAAGCAGGUAAUUUCAGCGUCGUAGGCCAUGUUUACUGCGACACUUGCCGCGUUGAAUUCGAGACCAAGCUCAGCCAAGCCAUAAAUGGUGCAAUUGUGAGACUGGAAUGCAGGAACCGUACCACCGGAUCCAUUACCUAAGGGAGCCUAGACGCAUCAACCGACGAAAAGGGAGACUACAAAAUCGAAGUGGAGGGAGAUUAUGGGGAUUCAGACUGCGACGUAAUGCUGGUGAAGAGUCCCCGACCGGACUGCAAUGAUCCAACCGAAGAAUGGAGGAAAGCCAGGGUUGUCCUCACCACGCUCGACGGCAUCAGCGGUGAUAUUCGCUUUACCAACAACCUUGGGUUCAAAAUAAAGGAAUCUCUGCCCGAGUGUAAACAAGUUCUUACAGAGAUGGGUUAUUAUGAGCUUAGGGAUGAACUUGGAGACGAAGCAACAAACCCUUGAACGCCAAAA
This is a long non-coding RNA of Hibiscus syriacus, 573 nucleotides long. RefSeq lists it as uncharacterized. NCBI's taxonomy places the organism in Eukaryota, Viridiplantae, Streptophyta, Magnoliopsida, Malvales, Malvaceae. The transcript is spliced from 2 exons. The record is from RefSeq and is a predicted model, not a curated record.